This 253-nucleotide ribosomal RNA is filed under the name uncultured bacterium. RNAcentral's name for it is "partial 16S ribosomal RNA". It matches the Rfam family "Bacterial small subunit ribosomal RNA", at positions 524 to 776 of the family's 1533-position model. The record is from RNAcentral.
UACGUAGGGUCCGAGCGUUGUCCGGAAUUACUGGGCGUAAAGAGCUCGUAGGUGGUUUGUCGCGUUGUUCGUGAAAACUCACAGCUCAACUGUGGGCGUGCGGGCGAUACGGGCAGACUGGAGUACUGCAGGGGAGACUGGAAUUCCUGGUGUAGCGGUGGAAUGCGCAGAUAUCAGGAGGAACACCGGUGGCGAAGGCGGGUCUCUGGGCCACUACUGACGCUGAGAAGCGAAAGCAUGGGGAGCGAACAGG